Molecule: ribosomal RNA, 274 nt
Filed under: uncultured bacterium
Lineage: Bacteria
Description: partial 16S ribosomal RNA
Rfam family: Bacterial small subunit ribosomal RNA
Source: RNAcentral
AUACGGAGGGUGCAAGCGUUACUCGGAAUCACUGGGCGUAAAGCGCGCGCAGGCGGCUUGAUAAGUUGGAUGUGAAAGCCUACGGCUCAACCGUAGAACUGCAUCCAAAACUGUCAGGCUAGAGUGUGGGAGAGGAAGAUGGAAUUAGUUGUGUAGGGGUAAAAUCCGUAGAGAUAACUAGGAAUACCAAAAGCGAAGGCGAUCUUCUGGAACAGUACUGACGCUGAGGCGCGAAAGCGUGGGGAGCAAACAGAAUUAGAAACCCCAGUAGUCC